UUUACGGAUGCCAAUCCUUGAACAAGCUUCUAGAAAGUAGUCUUCGACAUUGAUCGGGUGAAGAGGUCCGUCAGGUUGUCCUAAGAACGGAUUUGCUUGACUUCAAUCUUCCGGUGCUUUUGUUGCUAUUGAGAGAAAAAGAACUUCGGCGCAUUGUGUUUGAUAUUGUCUCCUUUGAUGUAUUCAUUGUUGCGUUGUUCAAGACAUGAUGCAUUAUCAUAAUUGUAGGGACGUCAAUGACAGAGUGUUUGGUAAACUUUUUUGUAAAAAUGCUUUUGAAAAAAAAAAAAAAAAAAAAAGUAGUAUUAUAGUGUUUGGCAAACUUUUAUAUAAAACAGCUGUGACAGUGUGAAAUGACCAAAAAGGGUAUAAUACUAUGUUAUUAUUAUGAUAUUUUAUUUAAUAUUACUAUUUUUCUGUGAGGAUUUUGUGUGGCCGUGGGGCCCACACCCCAUUUCUCUUCUCCCCGUGUCUUCAUUUCCCUCUACAUUCCCAAACUCUCUCGAAAACUCUCAGCUCUCUCUCUCUCUCUCUGCACUAUCUCCUCCACCAAGACAACCCCACACACAAACCUUCGAUCUCAGACCAUCUCACCACCAGAUUAUCAUCAUCUCCACCCCUACGAAUUUAACCCCAAGUUUGGGUUACAUGAAUCAUGUUUUGGGUCCUAGGGAUAAGAAAAUCUGAGAACUCAAAUCCAUGAGCUCUCCAGCAAGAAUCAGGACAAAAUCAAUUAGCCGCCCACUCCAUCUCUCAUCCUUCUCUCUUUGUUUCUCUCUCCCAUCUAGAAUUCUGGAGUCAUCCUUUUUGCCUAAUUUUUUUUUCAUCUGAUUUUCUCCACUCUAAGGACCACAUUGUCCAAAUGUUCCUUCUCAUCUACCUCAAGAUCAUCAACAAGAUCGACUUUCUGAUUCUCAUCUACUUCAAGAUGAUUGACAAGAUCGACUUUCCGAGUAAAAUCCAUUCCAAUAUUCCCUGUUUUAGGUGUAGUUUGACCUAUGGAUUCAAAUGGUGGUGUUGCAUGUGAAGAUCAAGUACUCAAAAAUGAAGAAAGCCAACCCUUCCCUCUCGGUGAAAAACUCUUCAAUCAGUUGACCUAAGGCUCGAUGAAAUUGGGGUGCUUCAAACUCAAUUCAACCUUCAUUUAAUCUCAGAAAUCUGGUGACCUUCAUGGUCAUUUUUCCGGCGAACUCAAGACUGAAUCUACACCAAUUGCCAAAUCUCAACUCUGGAAACCAAUGAAGCAUCACCAGUGCCAUUACAACUAAUCAAAGACCAAUUCAUUCCUAAUUGAUGACUGGGAAUAUUUUUCUUGCUCGAAUUCUGGACUAGUUCUUGCUCGGAUUCUGGACUAGUUCUUGCUCGCAUUCUAGGUUGAUUCUCACUCGGAUUCUGGGAUUCGAUCCAAUUGGAAAAUUUUCAAAAAUGGUUUCUCACAAAGAUUGAAUCUUUUUCUUAUUUGUGUAUUUGGAGGAUUUGGAAGGAGAAUAGGGAUAAAUGUUGGUGCAGUGGUGGUGGUUGGUGUUGAACGAGAGUGGGCGAGACGGCUGCGGUCCUACUCUGAUGCGAGGGAAGGGGUGAACGAGUGUGAGAGAUUCCAGUUUGAGUAUUAAGGACAAGGUUUGUCAUUUUGUAAAAAUGACGAGGGUGUUAUUGGACUUUAGAAAGUUUCAUUAAAGAUGCAUUAUAGC
This is a long non-coding RNA of Pyrus x bretschneideri (Chinese white pear), 1691 nucleotides long. RefSeq lists it as uncharacterized. The record is from RefSeq and is a predicted model, not a curated record. Lineage: Eukaryota; Viridiplantae; Streptophyta; Magnoliopsida; Rosales; Rosaceae. The transcript has 4 exons.